This 984-nucleotide long non-coding RNA is filed under the name Jatropha curcas. RNAcentral describes it as "long non-coding RNA (JCUR_LNC001520)". Lineage: Eukaryota; Viridiplantae; Streptophyta; Magnoliopsida; Malpighiales; Euphorbiaceae. The record is from RNAcentral.
UGGACAUAAGUUUUCUCUAUGACCUAUUCUGCCAUAAGAAUAACAUUUCUCUGCCCUUCAUAUUCAACUGUUUGUUCAAAGUCAUUAAUGAUGAACUUAGAAACCAGUGGAACUCCACCCAAAUGGCUAAUCUAGGAAACUUCUCAUUUAAAGCAUCCUCUGUCUAAUAGUCUAUCUUAACCACUUUAUGAAUAACGUCUCCAAUCACUCUAAGCAGCUUCCUGUGAUACAAGUGUAAGGGAAGGCUUGGGAGUCUUGCCCAUACUACAAUUUUUUGAAAGGAAAAAUUGUCCACUCUAAACUUCAGUGCCCAGGGCUGAACUAUCAAAUAACUCCCUAGCAUGGUCAAAGGUCCCUCAAGCAAGGCACGAUAGUAAUCUGUUUCCUGAUCAAAUUUGACAAGGAAGAGGUCAUUCCCCAUAUCUAGAAGUUUCAUUCCAUUAGGUUUCUAAAGAUUAGAAGUUCUCAAUUACAUUGCCUUGUAUCCAAUUUUCUGGCCCCAUAGUUUUAUCACUACUGAAAGUCUCCACUUCCUAGAGAGAUGAUCUUAAAAGUCCUUUGAAUUCUGAUAAUCAGAAUAGAACCCGAUAUGUUGAUUACAAACUUCUCAGUUGGGCAUUCAUCACAAGAGGAGUCUAAAUUUGUUCAUCCAUAUCCAUGUCCGCGCGUUGUACUAUCUUAUCUCGAAAAGAAAUCGACGCAACCUAGGGAGGAUUGAGAAAGGGAGUAUUAGCCUCCAUGUGCUUAACUUUCUUUGUAAUUUGGUUAUCCUUCGCCCUAGGUGUUGGUUCAUCGAGAGUAAGAGAGAGCAUGAGAGAAAAUUUCAUUGCCUAGUAUUUGUUACUUAAUAAUAUUAUUAUUAUAAUAUCAAGAAUAAGAAAACCAUUAAGACAUUUACUUAAUAUCUUUGUUGAACAUUUGGUACAAAGGCUUAUUUUCGGUUUAAUUUCAUUUGAAGUGCCCUAAUUUACAGGGUAUUCAUUU